UUGGUGUGAAUUGCAGAAUCCCGCGAACCAUCAAUUCUUUGAACGCAAGUUGCGCCCGAAGCCAUUCGGCCGAGGGCACGCCUGCCUGGGUGUCGUGA
This 98-nucleotide ribosomal RNA is filed under the name Miconia subciliata. RNAcentral's name for it is "Tococa subciliata partial 5.8S ribosomal RNA". It matches the Rfam family "5.8S ribosomal RNA", at positions 62 to 154 of the family's 154-position model. Rfam says of the family: 5.8S ribosomal RNA (5.8S rRNA) is a component of the large subunit of the eukaryotic ribosome. It is transcribed by RNA polymerase I as part of the 45S precursor that also contains 18S and 28S rRNA. The record is from RNAcentral. Lineage: Eukaryota; Viridiplantae; Streptophyta; Magnoliopsida; Myrtales; Melastomataceae.